UACGAAGGGUGCUAGCGUUGUUCGGAAUCACUGGGCGUAAAGGGCGUGUAGGCGGCUCGACAAGUCAGAGGUGAAAGCCCAGGGCUCAACCCUGGAAUUGCCUUUGAAACUGUCGAGCUUGAGUGUCGGAGGGGAUAGCGGAAUUGCUAAUGUAGAGGUGAAAUUCGUAGAUAUUAGCAGGAACACCGGUGGCGAAGGCGGCUAUCUGGACGACAACUGACGCUGAGGCGCGAAAGCACGGGGAUCAAACAGG
This 253-nucleotide ribosomal RNA is filed under the name uncultured bacterium. Its description in RNAcentral is "partial 16S ribosomal RNA". It matches the Rfam family "Bacterial small subunit ribosomal RNA", at positions 524 to 776 of the family's 1533-position model. The record is from RNAcentral.